UUUGAAGUAAAGGCCUGUUUUAUACGUUUCCUAAGUAGUAAUCCCCAUAAAACCAACAGUUUGGUGUACUCAGCAGGUUUUUUCUAGCACAAAAGAAAACACGCUUAUCCCUAAAGUCUCAGAGAUCAUCUCUUGCGUUCUGGUGGCACAUGCGCCUCAUCCCAGGCAACACUGAUUUGAUUAUGCUAAGGCAGGUUGCCAGAGAGACUGACUCUCCCUCAUUAACUUGGUCCUCUCUCUCCCCAGCAGUGCCUUUCCUGAGUUACACUUUAACCACCCCAGGCCGUUUAUUCUCCGUGAACCCAGGCUGCCUUUCAUGGGAAUCUGAAACUGAGAGAAUGUGGAAUGGCCUCCUUUCCAAGAGCUGCUUGGUUCUCACCCGUCUUGAGUCCUGCUUGUUCAGGGCCUCUUGGAUGUCAGUAUAUCCCCAGUUUGCUUAAGUUCCCUCAAGUUCAUCCUGAAGAACCUUAGCAGUUCAAACUCUGGUAAGUGAUGGAGUCAGUGCUUGAAUCCAGGUCCAUUUGACACCCAUGUCCACACUCUUGACCACGUGCUGUUUUCAGGCGUUUGAUGCUGAGUCACUUCAUGUCCUUUUGCUCUCUCUUUCUCUUCUCCUCUGCCAUGAUGACUUUGGAGACCACAAAUUGCAAAUGAUGUUAGCUACAAGAUGGAGAAGAGCUGCUGACCUGCUGAGGACUACGGCUUGAAUGAGUGUGGCAGCUAGUCUUCAAAGACAGCCCCAGUAAAUCACACCUCC
RNAcentral lists this long non-coding RNA (757 nucleotides) under Equus caballus (horse). Its description in RNAcentral is "lncRNA (ENSECAG00000042679.2)". The record is from RNAcentral. Lineage: Eukaryota; Metazoa; Chordata; Mammalia; Perissodactyla; Equidae.